AGUGAACGCUGGCGGUAGGCCUAACACAUGCAAGUCGAACGGCAGCACAGUAAGAGCUUGCUCUUACGGGUGGCGAGUGGCGGACGUGUGAGGAAUACAUCGGAAUCUACUUUUUCGUGGGGGAUAACGUAGGGAAACUUACGCUAAUACCGCAUACGACCUACGGGUGAAAGCAGGGGAUCUUCGGACCUUGCGCGAUUGAAUGAGCCCAUGUCGGAUUAGCUAGUUGGCGGGGUAAAGGCCCACCAAGUCGACGAUCCGUAGCUGGUCUGAGAGGAUGAUCAGCCACACUGGAACUGAGACACGGACCAGACUCCUACGGGAGGCAGCAGUGGGGAAUAUUGGACAAUGGGCGCAAGCCUGAUCCAGCCAUAGCGCGUGGGUGAAGAAGGCCUUCGGGUUGUAAAGACCUUUUGUUGGGAAAGAAAAGCAGCAGGUUAAUACCCCGCUGUUCUGACGGUACCCAAAGAAUAAGCACCGGCUAACUUCGUG
Molecule: ribosomal RNA, 492 nt
Filed under: uncultured bacterium
Lineage: Bacteria
Description: partial 16S ribosomal RNA
Rfam family: Bacterial small subunit ribosomal RNA
Source: RNAcentral